CUACGGGAGGCUGCAGUGAGGAAUAUUGCACAAUGGGGGAACCCUGAUGCAGCAACGCCGCGUGGAGGAUGACGCAUUUCGGUGUGUAAACUCCUUUUAUAUGUCAAGAAAAUGACGGUAGCAUAUGAAUAAGCACCGGCUAACUCCGUGCCAGCAGCCGCGGUAAUACGGAGGGUGCAAGCGUUACUCGGAAUCACUGGGCGUAAAGGACGCGUAGGCGGGUUGGAAAGUCAGGUGUGAAAUCCUACAGCUUAACUGUAGAACUGCACUUGAAACUUCUAAUCUAGAGUAUGGGAGGGGGAGAUGGAAUUAGUGGUGUAGGGGUAAAAUCCGUAGAUAUCACUAGGAAUACCUAAAGCGAAGGCGAUCUCCUGGAACAUUACUGACGCUAAGGCAUGAAAGCGUGGGGAGCAAACAGGAUUAGAUACCCCUGUAGUC
RNAcentral lists this ribosomal RNA (438 nucleotides) under uncultured bacterium. RNAcentral describes it as "partial 16S ribosomal RNA". It matches the Rfam family "Bacterial small subunit ribosomal RNA", at positions 339 to 795 of the family's 1533-position model. The record is from RNAcentral.